This 29-nucleotide non-coding RNA is filed under the name Mus musculus (house mouse). Lineage: Eukaryota; Metazoa; Chordata; Mammalia; Rodentia; Muridae. The record is from RNAcentral.
UGGGAUAAAAGGUAUGUGCAGUGGCAUGC